This 369-nucleotide unclassified non-coding RNA is filed under the name soil metagenome. RNAcentral describes it as "partial contains 5.8S ribosomal RNA, internal transcribed spacer 2, and large subunit ribosomal RNA". The stretch from base 1 to 120 matches the Rfam family "5.8S ribosomal RNA", at positions 35 to 154 of the family's 154-position model. The record is from RNAcentral.
GAUGAAGAACGUAGCGAAAUGCGAUAAGUAAUGUGAAUUGCAGAGUUUAGUGAAUCAUCGAAUCUUUGAACGCACAUUGCGCCCCUCGGUAUUCCGACGGGCAUGCCUGUUCGAGCGUCGUUUUCAUACCUCAAGCCGGACCCAUGUUUGCUUGGUCUUGGGCCACCGUCCCCGUCUCCCCGCGAGAGCGGGAGGGGACGGGCCCCGAAGCGAGCGGCGGCCUCGGAUGCACCGCCGGAGCGUCUUGGUGACAGCUCCGCCCCGGCGCGUCACCCGCGGGCCCGCCCGAGAACGACCCAUCGACGAAAGAUCCGACCUCGGAUCAGGCAGGGAUACCCGCUGAACUUAAGCAUAUCAAUAAGCGGAGGA